GUAAGAGAUGAAGGACCAAGAUGAAAUGCCAGACUUGAGGCUGAAGUAAAAUUCUCAGUACUUGGUGAAUGACAGAGGAUAGAAAAGAAGCAAGAUGGCCUCAGAACUGCUGACCUACAAAAACAGACAGGCUCAAUCCUUUUUUUGGAGACAAGGUCCCUCUCUAUAGUCCUGCCUGUCCUCGAGCUCAUAGAGAUUCAUGCCUCCCGAGUGCUGGAAUUCAAGGCAUGCUCUACCACACCUGCGUCUCCAGCUGCUGCCGUUCCGGGGCUGUGAUCAUCUCCUCUAUCUCCUGCAGCUGCACGUCCUCUGCACCCGUGGCCUGCAUGGACGCGAUGAUGGCCUCUACCCUCUGAGACUUUUCUAGUAGCCGCCUAGCAGACAGUCACAGCUUUAAGGAAUCAUUGCAAAGUCCUCCACCUGCUUCUGCUCCAGAUGUUUCUUCUGCAAUACCAGACGGAAUAUUCUGGCACAGCGAGACCCGAAUCUGGGAAGGGACAAAGCAGCACGAGGGUCUUGCUAUGUAGCCCAGACGGACUUUGAACAUUCGACUUUCUGCCUCAGCCUCCAAACUGCUCCGAUGGGCCGGUGAUUGGCCCGACGCCUUGCACAGUCUUGAGUGAGAUGCUACGGAGCAAUGCCAGCCUCCGGCUCUCUUUAUUUUCAUUAAUGUAACUCACUGAAAAUUCACAGAAAAACUGAUAGACAGUUAUUUCAAUUAGGCAUUGACAAAAUCCUUUACUGUGGUGGCAUAUGCCUCUAAUCCCAGCACCUGGGUGGUGGAAGCAGGAGGACUGCGGGUUCAGUGCUAACAUCUAGGCUACACAGUGAGUUCAAGACCAGCCUGGGCUACGUGAGACUGUUUCAACAACAAAACAAGACGAUCUUUCCGAGGUCACCCUUCUGCUUCCUAACUCGGGGGUCCUGACAGAACAGACAACUAGGAAGGAUACUGAUGACAAACAUCCCUCCUCCGCUGUCGCCAGACUUUCCAAUAAACUCUAGCUGUUAAAGAGAGA
This is a long non-coding RNA of Peromyscus eremicus (cactus mouse), 1019 nucleotides long. RefSeq lists it as uncharacterized. The record is from RefSeq and is a predicted model, not a curated record. NCBI's taxonomy places the organism in Eukaryota, Metazoa, Chordata, Mammalia, Rodentia, Cricetidae. The transcript has 5 exons.